AGCGAACGUUUGCGGCGGGCUUAACACAUGCAAGUCGAACGAGAAUCCCUUCGGGGAGGAAAGUGGGCGCACGGGUGCGUAACACGUGGAUAACCAACCCAUUGGUUUGGGACAACACCGGGAAACUGGUGCUAAUACCAGAUGUGUCGCAGCUGUCUUCAGGCGGUUGCGAGAAAGGCCCGCAAAGGGUCGCCAACGGACGGGUCCGCGUCCCAUCAGCUAGUUGGUGAGGUAAUGGCUCACCAAGGCAAAGACGGGUAGCUGGUCUGAGAGGAUGAUCAGCCACACUGGAACUGAGACACGGUCCAGACUCCUACGGGAGGCAGCAGUGGGGAAUAUUGCGCAAUGGGCGAAGGCCUGAUCCAGCCAUCCCGCGUGUAGGAUAAGGCCCUAUGGGUUGUAAACUACUUUUA
RNAcentral lists this ribosomal RNA (413 nucleotides) under uncultured bacterium. RNAcentral's name for it is "bacterial SSU rRNA". It matches the Rfam family "Bacterial small subunit ribosomal RNA", at positions 29 to 438 of the family's 1533-position model. The record is from RNAcentral.